AGGGUUGUGGCUCAGUGGUAGAGUGCUUGCCUGGCAUGUGUGAGGCCCUGGGUUCAAUCCUCAGACCCUA
RNAcentral lists this transfer RNA (70 nucleotides) under Ictidomys tridecemlineatus (thirteen-lined ground squirrel). Its description in RNAcentral is "Spermophilus tridecemlineatus (thirteen-lined ground squirrel) tRNA". It matches the Rfam family "tRNA". From Rfam's summary of the family: Transfer RNA (tRNA) molecules are approximately 80 nucleotides in length. Their secondary structure includes four short double-helical elements and three loops (D, anti-codon, and T loops). Lineage: Eukaryota; Metazoa; Chordata; Mammalia; Rodentia; Sciuridae. The record is from Rfam by way of RNAcentral.